This 301-nucleotide ribosomal RNA is filed under the name uncultured bacterium. Its description in RNAcentral is "partial 16S ribosomal RNA". It matches the Rfam family "Bacterial small subunit ribosomal RNA", at positions 509 to 807 of the family's 1533-position model. The record is from RNAcentral.
CAGUCGCCGCGGGAAUACGUAGGGUGCAAGCGUUAAUCGGAAUUACUGGGCGUAAAGCGUGCGCAGGCGGUUUUGUAAGACAGAGGUGAAAUCCCCGGGCUCAACCUGGGAACUGCCUUUGUGACUGCAAGGCUGGAGUGCAGCAGAGGGGGAUGGAAUUCCGCGUGUAGCAGUGAAAUGCGUAGAUAUGCGGAGGAACACCGAUGGCGAAGGCAAUCCCCUGGGCCUGCACUGACGCUCAUGCACGAAAGCGUGGGGAGCAAACAGGAUUAGAUACCCGCGUAGUCCCUGUCUCUUAUAC